RNAcentral lists this ribosomal RNA (2930 nucleotides) under Proteus mirabilis. RNAcentral describes it as "23S ribosomal RNA". It matches the Rfam family "Bacterial large subunit ribosomal RNA". Lineage: Bacteria; Pseudomonadati; Pseudomonadota; Gammaproteobacteria; Enterobacterales; Morganellaceae. The record is from RNAcentral.
GGGUUGUGAGGUUAAGCGAAUAAGCGUACACGGUGGAUGCCUAGGCAAUCAGAGGCGAUGAAGGACGUGCUAAUCUGCGAAAAGCGUCGGUAAGGUGAUAUGAACCGUUAUACCCGACGAUAUCCGAAUGGGGAAACCCAGUAUCCAAUGGAUACUAUCAUUAACUGAAUCCAUAGGUUAAUGAGGCGAACCGGGAGAACUGAAACAUCUCAGUACCCCGAGGAAAAGAAAUCAACCGAGAUUCCCCUAGUAGCGGCGAGCGAACGGGGAGCAGCCCAGAGUCUUAAUCAAUAGCAGUGUCAGGAGAACGGUCUGGAAAGUCCGGCAGUAAAGGGUGAUAGCCCCGUAUCUGAAGAUGCUGUUGUUGUGAACUCGACGAGUAGGGCGGGACACGUGUUAUCCUGUCUGAAUAUGGGGGGACCAUCCUCCAAGGCUAAAUACUCCUGAUUGACCGAUAGUGAACCAGUACCGUGAGGGAAAGGCGAAAAGAACCCCGGCGAGGGGAGUGAAAAAGAACCUGAAACCGUGUACGUACAAGCAGUAGGAGCCUCUUUAUGGGGUGACUGCGUACCUUUUGUAUAAUGGGUCAGCGACUUAUAUUCUGUAGCAAGGUUAACCGUAUAGGGGAGCCGUAGGGAAACCGAGUCUUAACUGGGCGAAUGAGUUGCAGGGUAUAGACCCGAAACCCGGUGAUCUAUCCAUGGGCAGGUUGAAGGUUGGGUAACACUAACUGGAGGACCGAACCGACUAAUGUUGAAAAAUUAGCGGAUGACUUGUGGAUGGGGGUGAAAGGCCAAUCAAACCGGGAGAUAGCUGGUUCUCCCCGAAAGCUAUUUAGGUAGCGCCUCGUGAACUCAUCUUCGGGGGUAGAGCACUGUUUCGACUAGGGGGUCAUCCCGACUUACCAACUCGAUGCAAACUGCGAAUACCGAAGAAUGUUAUCACGGGAGACACACGGCGGGUGCUAACGUCCGUCGUGAAGAGGGAAACAACCCAGACCGCCAGCUAAGGUCCCAAAGUCAUGGUUAAGUGGGAAACGAAGUGGGAAGGCUCAGACAGCCAGGAUGUUGGCUUAGAAGCAGCCAUCAUUUAAAGAAAGCGUAAUAGCUCACUGGUCGAGUCGGCCCGCGCGGAAGAUGUAACGGGGCUAAACCAUGCACCGAAGCUGCGGCAGCGACACAAAGUGUUGUUGGGUAGGGGAGCGUUCUGUAAGCCUGCGAAGGUGUACUGUGAGGUAUGCUGGAGGUAUCAGAAGUGCGAAUGCUGACAUAAGUAACGAUAAUGCGGGUGAAAAACCCGCACGCCGGAAGACCAAGGGUUCCUGUCCAACGUUAAUCGGGGCAGGGUGAGUCGACCCCUAAGGCGAGGCUGAAAAGCGUAGUCGAUGGGAAACGGGUUAAUAUUCCCGUACUGGUGGUAACUGCGAUGGGGGAACGGAGAAGGCUAGGUUGUCCGGGCGACGGUCGUCCCGGUUCAAGCAGGUAGGCAGAGUGAUUAGGCAAAUCCGGUCACUUAAUGCUGAGAUGUGAUGACGAACCACCAAGGUGGUGAAGCAAUUGAUGCCCCGCUUCCAGGAAAAGCCUCUAAGCUUCAGGUUACCAACAAUCGUACCCCAAACCGACACAGGUGGUCAGGUAGAGAAUACUCAGGCGCUUGAGAGAACUCGGGUGAAGGAACUAGGCAAAAUGGUGCCGUAACUUCGGGAGAAGGCACGCUGGCGGUAGGUAAAGUCCCUCGCGGACAGAGCUGAAGCCAGUCGAAGAUACCAGCUGGCUGCAACUGUUUAUUAAAAACACAGCACUGUGCAAACACGAAAGUGGACGUAUACGGUGUGACGCCUGCCCGGUGCUGGAAGGUUAAUUGAUGGGGUUAGCGUAAGCGAAGCUCCUGAUCGAAGCCCCAGUAAACGGCGGCCGUAACUAUAACGGUCCUAAGGUAGCGAAAUUCCUUGUCGGGUAAGUUCCGACCUGCACGAAUGGCGUAAUGAUGGCCAGGCUGUCUCCACCCGAGACUCAGUGAAAUUGAACUCGCUGUGAAGAUGCAGUGUACCCGCGGCAAGACGGAAAGACCCCGUGAACCUUUACUAUAGCUUGACACUGAACAUUGAGCCUUGAUGUGUAGGAUAGGUGGGAGGCUUUGAAGUGUGGACGCCAGUCUGCAUGGAGCCAACCUUGAAAUACCACCCUUUAACGUUUGAUGUUCUAACCUAGGCCCAUAAACUGGGUCGGGGACCGUGUCUGGUGGGUAGUUUGACUGGGGCGGUCUCCUCCUAAAGAGUAACGGAGGAGCACGAAGGUUGGCUAAGCAUGGUCGGACAUCAUGCGGUUAGUGCAAAGGCAUAAGCCAGCUUGACUGCGAGAGUGACGGCUCGAGCAGGUACGAAAGUAGGUCUUAGUGAUCCGGUGGUUCUGAAUGGAAGGGCCAUCGCUCAACGGAUAAAAGGUACUCCGGGGAUAACAGGCUGAUACCGCCCAAGAGUUCAUAUCGACGGCGGUGUUUGGCACCUCGAUGUCGGCUCAUCACAUCCUGGGGCUGAAGUAGGUCCCAAGGGUAUGGCUGUUCGCCAUUUAAAGUGGUACGCGAGCUGGGUUUAGAACGUCGUGAGACAGUUCGGUCCCUAUCUGCCGUGGGCGUUGGAAGAUUGAGAGGGGUUGCUCCUAGUACGAGAGGACCGGAGUGAACGCACCACUGGUGUUCGGGUUGUCAUGCCAAUGGCAUUGCCCGGUAGCUAAGUGCGGAAGAGAUAACCGCUGAAAGCAUCUAAGCGGGAAACUUGCCUCGAGAUGAGUCUUCCCUGUCGCUUUAAGCGACCUAAAGGAACGUUUAAGACUAAGACGUUGAUAGGCUGGGUGUGUAAGCGUAGCGAUACGUUGAGCUAACCAGUACUAAUGAACCGUGAGGCUUAACCUGACAACACCGAAAGUGUUUUG